This 145-nucleotide unclassified non-coding RNA is filed under the name uncultured Sordariomycetes. RNAcentral's name for it is "sequence contains ITS2". The record is from RNAcentral. Lineage: Eukaryota; Fungi; Ascomycota; Sordariomycetes.
CAACCCUCAGGCUCCGCCUGCUGUUGGGGCACCACCUCCGUGGGCCCCCAAAUCCACCGGCGGGCACGCCCCGGACCCGAGCGUAGUAGCACAUCUCGCUUAGGGCUCCGGGCGCGCCCCGGCCGCUAAACACCCCCUAUUCUAA